UCGGGAAUUUUGGGCAAUGGGCGAAAGCCUGAUCCAGCAAUGCCGCGUGAGUGAAGAAGGCCUUAGGGUUGUAAAGCUCUUUCACCGGGGAAGAUAAUGACGGUACCCGGAGAAGAAGCCCCGGUUAACUCCGUGCCAGCAGCCGCGGUAAUACGGAGGGUGCAAGCGUUGCUCGGAAUUAUUGGGCGUAAAGGGUAGGUAGGUGGUCUUGUUUGUCUGAGGUGAAAUCCCAGGGCUUAACCCUGGACGUGCCUUAGAAACGGCGAGACUGGAGUCCUGGAGAGGGUUGUGGAAUUCCCGGUGUAGCGGUGAAAUUCGUAGAUAUCCGGAGGAACACCAGUGGCGAAGGCGGCCCUCUGGACGAUGACUGACGCUGAGACGCGAAAGCGUGGGGAGCAAACAGGAUUAGAUACCCUGGUAGUCCACGCCGUAAACGUUGGGUGCUAGGUGUCGCGGGUAUUGACCCCUGCGGUGCCGGCGUUAACGCAUUUAGCACCCCGCCUGGGGAGUACGCCGGCAACGGUAAAACUCAAAGGAAUUGACGG
This 545-nucleotide ribosomal RNA is filed under the name uncultured delta proteobacterium. RNAcentral describes it as "bacterial SSU rRNA". It matches the Rfam family "Bacterial small subunit ribosomal RNA", at positions 355 to 916 of the family's 1533-position model. The record is from RNAcentral. Lineage: Bacteria; Deltaproteobacteria.